UCCGNNUUAUUGGGCGUAAAGCGCGCGCAGGCGGUCUUUUAAGUCUGAUGUGAAAGCCCCCGGCUUAACCGGGGAGGGUCAUUGGAAACUGGAAGACUGGAGUGCAGAAGAGGAGAGUGGAAUUCCACGUGUAGCGGUGAAAUGCGUAGAUAUGUGGAGGAACACCAGUGGCGAAGGCGACUCUCUGGUCUGUAACUGACGCUGAGGCGCGAAAGCGUGGGGAGCAAACAGGAUUAGAUACCCUGGUAGUCCACGCCGUAAACGAUGAGUGCUAAGUGUUAGGGGGUUUCCGCCCCUUAGUGCUGCAGCUAACGCAUUAAGCACUCCGCCUGGGGAGU
This 338-nucleotide ribosomal RNA is filed under the name uncultured bacterium. RNAcentral's name for it is "bacterial SSU rRNA". It matches the Rfam family "Bacterial small subunit ribosomal RNA", at positions 545 to 881 of the family's 1533-position model. The record is from RNAcentral.